GCCAGGCGUGGUAGCGCAUGCCUGUAAUCCCAGCUACUCAGGAGGCUGACACAGAAGAAUUGCUUGAACCCGGGAGGCAGAGGUUGCAGUGAGCUGAGAUCGUGCCACUGCACUCUAGCCUGGGUGACAGAGCAAGACUCCGUCUCAA
Molecule: unclassified non-coding RNA, 148 nt
Organism: Macaca fascicularis (crab-eating macaque)
Lineage: Eukaryota; Metazoa; Chordata; Mammalia; Primates; Cercopithecidae
Rfam family: Metazoan signal recognition particle RNA
About the family: The signal recognition particle (SRP) is a universally conserved ribonucleoprotein. It is involved in the co-translational targeting of proteins to membranes. The eukaryotic SRP consists of a 300-nucleotide 7S RNA and six proteins: SRPs 72, 68, 54, 19, 14, and 9.
Source: Ensembl